CGCACGGAGGCGAGGUUUCUCAGUCCUCGUUGGUCUGCUCAGCCCUUCAGAACCAGACCUGCAGCUCUGUAGACACGUCAGAGGAUUUGACAUCUCUGAAUGUUUUCAAACGAGUUGUUUGGUUUUCCACAUCCAUCAGGACUUUCUUCAGCGUCUCUGGUUGGCGGUAAUUCAGAUCUUCGUUUUACCAGAUGUGGGUUUCUCUGAGGACCAGCAGGUGGGCGUGGUUUCCUCCAAAACGCCACAAACAAAGACUACUGAUCAGAAGAAGACAUCAAGUUCUCUUAUUUCUAACCAAAGGAUCCGAUCAGCUGCUUCCAUUUGGAGCCUGAAGCUCCAAAGACGACGGCGGAGGGAGGAGAAAAGGGAGCUUCUCCCUGUCGGUGGAGCGAUUGUUUCAGGGUGCAGGAAUGUGGAAAUAACUUCACCCUGAGCUGACAGGCGAGGCUGUUUUUAGGGGAGGUGGGGGUCUGGGAAGAGCAGAGGGAGGGGCUCUGCAGCUCAGGGUCAUCUGGAGCUGACGGCGCGUUCCUCUGACUCUGGUCAAACGUUAAUGAUGCUGGAAUUUAGGGAAACUUUUGGGAUGUUGUGAAAGAAAAACAGCAGAAAGAACAGGAGAGCGUUUCUGCGAACAGGAGGAGGACAUUCCUGGAAGCAGACUGAGGGUCACUGAGAGACUCCACAACAAAAGCUGAGGACAUGUGGGAGCAGCAGAGGCCCCCCCCAAAGCCUUUGCAGCGACAGCAGCUAAAGCCUCCCGGAGAAAUACGACCAACAACAGCAGCAGCUCCUGGAGGCCGACUGUAAACGUUCUGCAUGAAGAUCGUUUCAUCAGAGUCACAAAGACAGUUUCCCACGCCGAACACUGCCGCCUCUUCUGGACCCUUUUGACCGUUUAGCCUUUAAUUAAGCAUUUUUAGCUCCAUUGUUGAGGCUUUGGAAAUGAGAGAUUCCAGUUUCUGCUUUGGUCUUUUUGCAUUUCUUGAAGCCAAAGUUUGUUUCAGUUUCUUCUGCUGACGUUGAGCUGGCAUGAACUAAACGUCAGGCAGCAACGUUUCUCCUCUGGUUUUCUGCAGAAAUGCAGCAUCCGUCACAGCUCAGCCGUCCCCCGUUUGUCUUUCUAAAGAUGAGCCGCAUCAGGUGAACUCCGAGAAAGUCGGAUCACAAAUGUUUGAAGGCCGUAAAUAUCCUCACUGCACAUUUUCUCUGACAGACGGGAACAUUUUCACAUUUUUUGGUCGGUUUCAGGACGAUUUCGGUCGUAUGGAUCUAACUUACGAGCCGCAGUCCCUUUUAGGUUUCAUAGGUUUAGACUUUCUGUAUUAAGUUUGAAGUGUUGAAAGUUUAGAAAAUUUAAUUUUUUUCAGAUUUUCUAGAACACGAGCGGGGGUUCGUGACUUGGUUUCUGUUUUUUGUUUUGUUUUUUCAAAGUAAAAGCCUGUACUUUCACAUUAAGAGUAAUUUCUUGGUUCCAGCUGCUCUUCCUGUGGGUUUUACUUUG
Non-coding RNA from Oryzias latipes (Japanese medaka), 1501 nucleotides. NCBI's taxonomy places the organism in Eukaryota, Metazoa, Chordata, Actinopteri, Beloniformes, Adrianichthyidae. The record is from RefSeq and is a predicted model, not a curated record.